RNAcentral lists this ribosomal RNA (568 nucleotides) under uncultured bacterium. RNAcentral describes it as "bacterial SSU rRNA". It matches the Rfam family "Bacterial small subunit ribosomal RNA", at positions 338 to 916 of the family's 1533-position model. The record is from RNAcentral.
CCUACGGGAGGCAGCAGUGGGGAAUAUUGCGCAAUGGGCGAAAGCCUGACGCAGCGACGCCGCGUGAGGGAUGAAGGCCUUCGGGUUGUAAACCUCUUUCAGCAGGGACGAAGCGAAAGUGACGGUACCUGCAGAAGAAGCACCGGCUAACUACGUGCCAGCAGCCGCGGUAAUACGUAGGGUGCAAGCGUUGUCCGGAUUUAUUGGGCGUAAAGAGCUCGUAGGCGGUCUGUCGCGUCGGAUGUGAAAACCCAGGGCUCAACCCUGGGCCUGCAUUCGAUACGGGCAGACUUGAGUGUUGCAGGGGAGACUGGAAUUCCUGGUGUAGCGGUGAAAUGCGCAGAUAUCAGGAGGAACACCGGUGGCGAAGGCGGGUCUCUGGGCAACAACUGACGCUGAGGAGCGAAAGCGUGGGGAGCGAACAGGAUUAGAUACCCUGGUAGUCCACGCCGUAAACGGUGGGCGCUAGGUGUGGGGAACCUUCCACGUUCUCUGUGCCGCAGCUAACGCAUUAAGCGCCCCGCCUGGGGAGUACGGCCGCAAGGCUAAAACUCAAAUGAAUUGACGG